Molecule: non-coding RNA, 834 nt
Organism: Oncorhynchus mykiss (rainbow trout)
Lineage: Eukaryota; Metazoa; Chordata; Actinopteri; Salmoniformes; Salmonidae
Source: RefSeq, a predicted model, not a curated record
UGCCGAUUGGAUAUCGCUAGAGCGUGCUUGGCUCUGCCCUCCUCCUUGCUUGUUCUAGUAUGCCCACUAUGACUCAUUUGUUCCCGUUGGAAUCGACAAGCUGUGGUCUAUCUUGGUUUAGUUAUACAAAUAUUUGGUUUUGUGCUAAUUUUUACAAUAAACCGACAGCAAGCAUCAGAGUCAACGCAGCAAAAACACAUGCGAUUUAUUCAGUCUCAGAUUAUUGAAAUCAAGCCAUCCAGCAUGACAACUAUACGAUUGAGGAUUACGAAAAAGGAUGCCUGAUGAAGACCUAAGGGUCAAAACGUUGUUAUAAAUAAAUAUCACCUGGGAGCAUGAGAAGCAGUGUGCAGCGUUUUCCUUUCUGUUUUCCAGGUUUUGCGUAUUGUCAUAGAUUAGGAAAAUAAGGUUUGCAGUCCCAAUGAGCUGCUGGUUGGCUUGCUUGAGCAGGUGGAGAAGACCCUGACUCCGUCGCCGAGACAAGUCUUCCUCCUGCUGCAGCCCACUACAGAAAGCUGGGCAGCCCGGAAGGCCUCCUCGGUGGGCGUGGCUCUCGCCACCCUGCUGGGCCAGGUGGCCAGGCUGCCUGUGCCCCAGACCAAGGAACAGGAGGAAGACGACAUGUUCGGCCCGUGCAGCUGCUGGUCGGCCCUCCUGGUCUUCUUCAGACCCUUUACGGGAGGCCGGGCCGAGCCGGCAGGCCGGUAUUACCAACAGGACGCCCACGGUCAAAGAGGAUGAGCUGAGGACAGAGACGCGUUCUAUCUCCUAGAGAUUAAUGUACUUUGGUGUGAAAACUACAACUCAAUCGCAGAACAACAGCGAAGGACCUUG